AUAUACUCAGCAAAAGCACCGUCUCUUACAGCUCCGAUAACUUCAAGAGUCAUACAUCUUGCAUAUUCGCCUUUUUUACAGUAUUCACAUUCAAAACAAGGAAGUGCAGGAC
Molecule: non-coding RNA, 112 nt
Filed under: uncultured Anaerofustis sp.
Lineage: Bacteria; Bacillati; Bacillota; Clostridia; Eubacteriales; Eubacteriaceae
Source: RNAcentral